UUACACACAUUAACAAGGAAAGUAGAACAUACCCUGCUAUCACAGAGACUCUUCAUUUUGCUGAAAGAAGAGAUAGAAAGCAUGUUUGAAAAUGGCCUUUGAGUGGUGGUUUCGAUAUGAGGAAUCACCGGGUUCGCCCGUUAUCGCGAUACAGUAUAAGCAUAUAUAAUAUGUCGUACUGGAAAUUUUUAUAAUGACCACGUACCACAAUUGAUAUGCCGUACUGGUAGAGGUUGUUUUAGCGAUAAAACAACAAAUUAAGGUGGUACCACGAAAUAGAGCUUUCGUCCUUUUU
RNAcentral lists this non-coding RNA (295 nucleotides) under Staphylococcus massiliensis. RNAcentral's name for it is "T-box sequence". It matches the Rfam family "T-box leader". Rfam says of the family: Uncharged tRNA acts as the effector for transcription antitermination of genes in the T-box leader family. T-boxes are found upstream of many aminoacyl-tRNA synthetase genes and some amino acid biosynthetic genes usually in Gram-positive bacteria. Lineage: Bacteria; Bacillati; Bacillota; Bacilli; Caryophanales; Staphylococcaceae. The record is from RNAcentral.